GUUAUUUACCAGGGAACGAAUAACAAAAAACAUCAUUCCGCCCUUUCCCUCCACAUUUACCAAAUUGAUUUUUGAGCUGCUCGCAGUCAGAUUGCAAUAAAUAUACUUGAAAUCCCCUGCACGUAAUGGUUGAUAAAUCCUGGAUCAUAAUUCUGCUUGGGUUUGGUUUGCUGGAUGCUGCUGGGCCAUGUUUUCCUUUCUCCAGCCCUUCAUCCCGCACAACUCUCUGGUGGAGGAAUAAAUUGGGAAUAAUGGAAGCUCCGCUGACUAAAUUUCACUUGUCAGUCAGAAAAUUUCGUGCUGGGCGUGAAGUUCUUGCAAAUAGCACAAGUGCCGCCAGAGCCCCAUCCCGUCACGCUCAGACAAAAUCCUCAGAAAUCCCACCUUAAAAACCACACUGGAAACACCAGGAGGAAAGUAUCAAGACAAGCAGUCCUUGGGAAUGUAUGGAAUUGACACAGAAGUCAUGGAGCAACUGAGCAGUGACAGGACUGGAAAGUCUCACGUAUUCCAUGACUGCAGGUUACUGGCAGGGAAUUGAAGAUGCACUUGGCAAAGGAAAUGGAUUUUGCCAACAACUGGAAGUUCUCAGUGCCCUCGUGCCAUGGAAGUUCUGCAUCCUGUUCUGCCUGGAAGUGCCAGCCAUGAGGCAGCGCUGGGGUUUUUACUGGAA
Molecule: long non-coding RNA, 673 nt
Filed under: Chloebia gouldiae (Gouldian finch)
Lineage: Eukaryota; Metazoa; Chordata; Aves; Passeriformes; Passeridae
Description: Erythrura gouldiae (Gouldian finch) lncRNA (ENSEGOG00005014774.1)
Source: RNAcentral